AUACGUAGGUGGCGAGCGUUAUCCGGAAUUAUUGGGCGUAAAGAGCGCGCAGGUGGUUGAUUAAGUCUGGGGGAUGUGAAAGCCCACGGCUUAACCGUGGAGGGUCAUUGGAAACUGGUCGACUUGAGUGCAGAAGAGGGAAGUGGAAUUCCAUGUGUAGCGGUGAAAUGCGUAGAGAUAUGGAGGAACACCAGUGGCGAAGGCGGCUUCCUGGUCUGUAACUGACACUGAGGCGCGAAAGCGU
Molecule: ribosomal RNA, 244 nt
Filed under: uncultured bacterium
Lineage: Bacteria
Description: partial 16S ribosomal RNA
Rfam family: Bacterial small subunit ribosomal RNA
Source: RNAcentral